AGCAGUCGCCGCGGGAAUACGUAGGGUACGAGCGUUAAUCGGAAUUACUGGGCGUAAAGCGUGCGCAGGCGGUUGUGUAAGACAGGUGUGAAAUCCCCGGGCUUAACCUGGGAACUGCGCUUGUGACUGCACAGCUAGAGUAUGGCAGAGGGGGGUGGAAUUCCACGUGUAGCAGUGAAAUGCGUAGAGAUGUGGAGGAACACCGAUGGCGAAGGCAGCCCCCUGGGCCAAUACUGACGCUCAUGCACGAAAGCGUGGGGAGCAAACAGGAUUAGAUACCCGAGUAGUCCCUGUCUCUUAUAC
This 303-nucleotide ribosomal RNA is filed under the name uncultured bacterium. RNAcentral's name for it is "partial 16S ribosomal RNA". It matches the Rfam family "Bacterial small subunit ribosomal RNA", at positions 507 to 807 of the family's 1533-position model. The record is from RNAcentral.